GUACUAACGGGACUGCCGGUUAUAACCGGAGGAAGUGGGGGGUGACGUCAAGUCAGCAUGGCCUCUAUGUCCAGGGCUACACACACGCUACAAUGGCCGGUACAGUGGGUUGCCAAACCGCGAGGUGGAGCUAAUCCUCAAAGCCGGUCUCAGUUCGGAUUGUAGGCUGCAACUCGCCUGCAUGAAGUCGGAGUUGCUAGUAACCGCGCGUCAGCUAUAGCGCGGUGAAUACGUUCCCGGGCCUU
RNAcentral lists this ribosomal RNA (245 nucleotides) under uncultured Anaerolineaceae bacterium. Its description in RNAcentral is "partial 16S ribosomal RNA". It matches the Rfam family "Bacterial small subunit ribosomal RNA", at positions 1137 to 1382 of the family's 1533-position model. Lineage: Bacteria; Bacillati; Chloroflexota; Anaerolineae; Anaerolineales; Anaerolineaceae. The record is from RNAcentral.